RNAcentral lists this ribosomal RNA (253 nucleotides) under uncultured bacterium. Its description in RNAcentral is "partial 16S ribosomal RNA". It matches the Rfam family "Bacterial small subunit ribosomal RNA", at positions 524 to 776 of the family's 1533-position model. The record is from RNAcentral.
UACGGAGGGUGCGAGCGUUGUCCGGAAUCACUGGGCGUAAAGGGCGCGUAGGCGGCGCGAGCAGUCGAUCGUGAAAGUCCGGAGCUCAACUCCGGAUCGGCGGUCGAUACUCUCGUGCUUGAGCACUGUAGAGGCAGAUGGAAUCCCGGGUGUAGCGGUGGAAUGCGUAGAGAUCCGGAAGAACACCGGUGGCGAAGGCGGUCUGCUGGGCAGUUGCUGACGCUGAGGCGCGACAGCGUGGGGAGCAAACAGG